GGGGGUGUGGUGUAGCCAGGCCUAUCAUCGGGGACUCCAGAUGCCCAUGGGGCACUGGACCAAAACCCGAUGGCAGGAGAAAUCCCUGGACCUGGGUUCAAAUCCCAGCACCCCCA
RNAcentral lists this transfer RNA (116 nucleotides) under Methanotorris igneus Kol 5. It matches the Rfam family "tRNA". Rfam says of the family: Transfer RNA (tRNA) molecules are approximately 80 nucleotides in length. Lineage: Archaea; Methanobacteriati; Methanobacteriota; Methanococci; Methanococcales; Methanocaldococcaceae. The record is from Rfam by way of RNAcentral.